Molecule: long non-coding RNA, 2105 nt
Filed under: Jatropha curcas
Lineage: Eukaryota; Viridiplantae; Streptophyta; Magnoliopsida; Malpighiales; Euphorbiaceae
Description: long non-coding RNA (JCUR_LNC003244)
Source: RNAcentral
CAAAAUUAGCUGAGGUUCAUGUGAUUGUUAGUAAAAGAAAUAAAAUUGGAAGAACUACAAUAAAGUUCCAAGAACAUAACAGGAAUGCUAGCAGUAGCAAUUAGAAAUUGAAAAAGACAUGCAAUACUUUGAUAGGAAACUGAAAAGCAUAGAACAGGUUGCUUGUUAAAAUGCUAACCUAUUUAAGACUCCACCUAAAGCACAAGGGAUGAGCACAUCACAUUCAUGUACCAGCAGUUCAUUAGGAUCCAUGGAGUCUCCACCGUGAAAAUUUGUCAAACCACCAGUGGAUUCUUUAUGCCUGAGCAAUUCUGGUAUAUCAAGUCCAUUCAGGUUCUUGACUGCACCGGUGAUGUCAUUCACUGCUAUAAUCUUCCCACCUCUCUCAUGUAUGAGCCUUGUUACCCAAGACCCCACAUUCCCAAAACCCUGAAAAUUAAAAGGGUUAAAUUAGCAAUAUUUUAAUGAAAUAACAAUCACAUAAAAGAAUGUAAUUUAAAUGAUAACCAAAUUCAGAAAUGAAAUUUUUUUUCGAGAUUACCUGAACCACAAAUGUCAAACCCUUAAUGGAUUUCCCAUAUUCAGCAAGCAAAGCUUCAGUAGCAUAAACAACUCCACGACCAGUUGCUGCCUCUCUACCCAGUGAUCCACCGAGAUCCUAGUAACAAAUAUGGAUAAGAGAUAGAUGAGGAGAUAAGCAUUAUUUAUUCUGCUUUAAGAUGACAGUUUCAAAUUUAACACACAAACACUUGGAAAAUAACAGUCUUUAACACUUACUAUAGGCUUUCCUGUCACAACAGCUGGUGAGUGACCAUGAAACUUUGAGUAUUCGUCCAAUAUCCACGCCAUUGUCUGUUUACAUAUUUUAUCAUCUAAUUAUGACUAAAUUAAUUAAAUUCGAGAAAGUGAACAUAUGAACAAAUAUACUAUUAAAAGAAAUCAGUGCAGAUGAAAAUACCUGUGAAUUAGUGCCCAUAUCUGGUGCUGGAACAUCAGUAUGAGUACCAAUGAGAUCAUGGAUCUUCUGAGUAAAGACACGGGUAAGUCGUUCUAGCUCACUUAAUUCAUCCUUUUUAGGUAUAAAAAUAAAGCAAAACAAUUCAGAAUAUUUAUGUGGCACUCCACCGGAAGUCGUAUGUUUGGGGAAUCAGGCAAUUGGCUUCAUUUUUCUACCAUCUAAUAACAUUCUAGGCCUCCAAGUGGAGUUUCAGAUGAUCAGUGUAUAUAGGCUCUUCAAACUUUGAUAAUAUAAUAUCAAGAAGAAAAUAUAUUUUUUAAUCCAUCUUAGUUUUUCAAUAUGUUACCUGAACCCACUCAAAGUAGCUGACAGUCACACCUCCAGCAUUUGCAUAUAUAUCAGGGAGUAUUACAACUCCUUUCUUGGAUAGAAUCUGCAAUAUCAAAAUCUCAUAAAUAAGAACCAUAAAAAUCUUUCUCCACCUUUCUGUAGUAAACAGCAAAAGCAGAGGUGUAAAGUUACCUCAUCUGCUUCUGGGUCAGUUGGAUGGUUUGCUGCCUCUACUAUGAACUUGGCCUUUACAUCUGAAGCAUUAUCCCUUCAAAGGGACAAAUAGGCAAAAUUAGCUGAGGUUCAUGUGAUUGUUAGUAAAAGAAAUAAAAUUGGAAGAACUACAAUAAAGUUCCAAGAACAUAACAGGAAUGCUAGCAGUAGCAAUUAGAAAUUGAAAAAGACAUGCAAUACUUUGAUAGGAAACUGAAAAGCAUAGAACAGGUUGCUUGUUAAAAUGCUAACCUAUUUAAGACUCCACCUAAAGCACAAGGGAUGAGCACAUCACAUUCAUGUACCAGCAGUUCAUUAGGAUCCAUGGAGUCUCCACCGUGAAAAUUUGUCAAACCACCAGUGGAUUCUUUAUGCCUGAGCAAUUCUGGUAUAUCAAGUCCAUUCAGGUUCUUGACUGCACCGGUGAUGUCAUUCACUGCUAUAAUCUUCCCACCUCUCUCAUGUAUGAGCCUUGUUACCCAAGACCCCACAUUCCCAAAACCCUGAAAAUUAAAAGGGUUAAAUUAGCAAUAUUUUAAUGAAAUAACAAUCACAUAAAAGAAUGUAAUUUAAAUGAUAACCAAAUUCAGAAAUGAAAUUUUUU